AUUUAUGAAUUAUAUAUUAUAAUAAUGCUGUUGUUUGUAUCUUGAGUGUUUCUCUAAAGCACGGGCAUGGGUUGAAGGCUUGAUUUUAGCCUGGGAUGCCUGUAGAAGAUCUUUGAAACUUUGAAGAGGUAGAGAUUAGUGGGAGGGAAUUAGGUCCUGCCCUUGAAAGGAUACUUGAUUCAAACCCUCCUGCCUUUCCUUUUCACCUUCCCUGAGGUAAACAGGCUUUUCUUUGUUGUAUUCUCUGACCAUAAUGUUGCACUACCACAAGCCCAAAAUAAAGCCAAGUGACCAUGAACUGAAAUCUCCAAGACCAUGAACCAAAGUGAACUCUCUCUCUUCUAAGUUGAUUUUCUCAGGUGUAUUGUUAUAAUAAUAGGAAGGCAUCUUCUAGGACUCUUAGAACAUCCUCCAUAGAUACAGAGAGACUGUGCUAUACUGGGAUUUAUUGACAUAUAGGAAGUGUUUAUAUUUGACUUAAGGAUUUAUGAAGCAAAAAAUGAGUAGGUCAAAUAAAUAUAAAUGUGUUGACAGUUCUGUUCGGAUAACAGAAUCAGGCUAGAAAUCACAAGUCAUAAAUUUAUAAAUUUGGAAAAUUUAAAAAUUCUAUGAAUAAGAGCUUUGCAUUAGGAGGAAGGAAAAUUGAUACCUUUGGGGCUUAGAAUGCAAUUCAGUUUAGUAUAGUGCUUUCCUAAAAUAAUACCAUAAAACCUUGGGUUCAGUCUCCAAACACUGCAUAAAUCAGGCUUGAUGGUGUACACCUAUAGCAGUCCCAGAAGUUGGAAGGUGGAUGGGACGAUCUGAAAACCUAGGUCGUUCUCGAUUAUAUAAGCUUAAGGCCAGCUUGGGCUAUAUGAAAAUUGCCGUUAAAGCUAGAAGAGGGAAGCCAAGAUUGAAGCCUUUUCUAAUUAGAUAACUAGCUCUUGAAUUAUAUAAUUGUUUGGCCUGAUGGUAAUAUCCUCUUCUCGGGAGAAGCUUGAUAUAGUUUGCCAAAUAUCUAUGUAUUAGUUAGCAAUAAUAAGUUAGAAUUAUUCUAAAAGCAGUAUUCAUAUGCCACGUAAUCAGAAUUAAAUCUAAGUAAAAUUUAUAUGAGGUUGAACUAAAGUGGCUUUUCUAAAAGAACUAUGUUAACUCAAAGGUACUUGAGAGAAUAUGUUAAUCAAAUAGAGAUAUUAAGUCAAGUUCUAGUCUAGCCCUUUCUACUUGUCACGAGGUCAGGUAUCACAGAUAGCCUUGACCACUAUCCAUGCGUCCAUGCAUCCAUGCAGGGUCUCAUAUAAUCUAGGUUGUCCUUAUACUCUUUAUGUAGAAUCAAGGAUGACCUUUAGGUUCUCCUGCUUUCACAUUCUGAAUCAUGGAAUAAGGCUUGUGCUACCACUCCUCAUUUAAUAUAGUGCUAGGGAUCAAACCCAGGGAUUUUUCAUGCCAACUUAGCUACACCCCAGACCUAAAAUUUGUCUCUUUCUGACAAAAAUACACUCUACUCCCCUGAUACUUAACUUCUACCUUCUGGCAAUGGAAGCUUCUUUGAUUCAUCAGAAUGAGUCAGGUAGUUGUACAAUAGUAGGAGCUGAAGAAGUAUUUAUUAUAUAAAUAUUUGAUCUUUAUCUUCUAAAAAGAAUAUGCCCCAAUUUCUCAACCAUGGAAGAUUGAAUCAUUUUCAGAUAAAAAAAUACUUAGUAGAAAUCACUAGUAAUAAACCUACAGAUAUAGAUAUGCCCAUUAAAAAUAAUCACCUACUUCCAAAUAAUCAGAUCAAAGCAUGCGCUAUAAAGUUUGAUAUCGAGGAGAAGGCUACAUGACUCAUACUCUCAAAGAUGAGGGUGCUUUUGUGAGUCUCAUUUUCUGAUUGCACAGGCAGUUGCCUUAUAUUGUAUUCAUUAAAGCACUGAAAUAUGUUCAUCUUCUAUCAAGUCUUGGGAAUGGCUGAGAAAUGAAAAUGAUUUCUGUUCUUGCCACAUCCUCACUUGCAAGGUUUUAUUCACCUAAAAUUUGGGAUUAUUUUCAUCUACAUAUCAGCUAUGGGCUUUCUAAAAGCUCUAGCUUUGGCAUUAUACUCAAAUACUUUUAAACACACGUAGGAGCACCACACACACUCUCUACUCCAUCUGCAAAUAGAAAACCAUACACGUGAGUCAGUACCCCUAUGUGUUUAUCUCCUGUUACUGUAGACAUUUUGUAGAUUCUGGAUGAAAAUAGAAAGGUGGGAAGAAUGAUUUCAGAAACCACUAUUCAAGCUUGGCCUCAGCCCCCUAACUAUACUCGUUAGCCCCUUUGCAGGUCUCCUGUAUUCCAUCCCAUGUCUUGUUUGCAGCAGAGUGUUGUAACAUGCAUGUGUCACCUCCACACUUGAGGAGCUGAGGUAGAAGGACCAGGAAUUCUAGUCCAGCCUGAACUACACAACAAAACCUUGUCUCAACAAAACACCAUAAAGCGUACAUGUGUACUCACUUGGCUAGUGCAGCUCUCUGUUAUAAAGGUAUGAGAACUGUUGGCUGGCUCUGAUAGCACAGCAUCUCUAGUCUUCCCAGAGAGCCAAGGUGGAGCGAUUGCCCUGAGUCUAAAUAGGCUGGGCAGUGUAGUGAGGCUUGUGUCAGUAUCAGAAUUUUGAUAGGUGUCACAUUAAGUCUGUAGAUUAUAUUUGGUACUGUAGCUCUGCACUUACUAAUUUUGCCGAUUCAGAAGCACAGAAGGUCUUUUCAUAGCAUCUUGGGGGUUUUCUUUUUCAAUGUUUUGAAGUUUUCAUUGUAGAGGUCUUUCUUAUCUUUGGAUACUCACACACACACACACACACACACACACUUAACUUUUUGGUGAUUCUUUUGGAAUCAUGUACUCCAAGCCCAUUUUUCCCUCUCCUUCUAUAUCUACCCUCCAUCCUUGUAACCUCCUUCCUCCC
Molecule: long non-coding RNA, 2899 nt
Filed under: Mus musculus (house mouse)
Lineage: Eukaryota; Metazoa; Chordata; Mammalia; Rodentia; Muridae
Description: long non-coding RNA chr4:33475120-33478019
Source: RNAcentral